This 20-nucleotide small nuclear RNA is filed under the name Arabidopsis thaliana (thale cress). RNAcentral's name for it is "snRNA_15915". Lineage: Eukaryota; Viridiplantae; Streptophyta; Magnoliopsida; Brassicales; Brassicaceae. The record is from RNAcentral.
UCACCAAGUGUUGGAUUGUU